This 195-nucleotide unclassified non-coding RNA is filed under the name plant metagenome. Its description in RNAcentral is "partial contains small subunit ribosomal RNA, internal transcribed spacer 1, and 5.8S ribosomal RNA". The record is from RNAcentral.
UUUCCGUAGGUGAACCUGCGGAAGGAUCAUUAUCGUGGGGAUUCGUCCCCUCUGGAUAGACACCCUUUGUUUAUGAGUACCAAUUGUUUCCUCGGCGGGCUUGCUCGCCGUUGGACAUCCAAAACCUUUGUAGUAGCAGUAUCUUCAGUAAAAAAACAAAUAUUAAAACUUUCAACAACGGAUCUCUUGGUUCUG